Molecule: transfer RNA, 68 nt
Filed under: chicken gut metagenome
Also listed under: 1 other name
Rfam family: tRNA
About the family: Transfer RNA (tRNA) molecules are approximately 80 nucleotides in length. Their secondary structure includes four short double-helical elements and three loops (D, anti-codon, and T loops).
Source: RNAcentral
CAAUUAGCUCAGUCGGUAGAGCACUCGGCUGUUAACCGAUAGGUCGUAGGUUCGAGUCCUACAUUGGC